GGCAAGAUGGCUGAUAAAGGCGGGGAACUGUAAAUUCUCUUAUAAACAUUGUUUUCUUGUUA
This 62-nucleotide transfer RNA is filed under the name Cacopsylla jukyungi. Its description in RNAcentral is "tRNA-Tyr". Lineage: Eukaryota; Metazoa; Arthropoda; Insecta; Hemiptera; Psyllidae. The record is from RNAcentral.